AUACGGAGGGUGCGAGCGUUGUCCGGAAUCACUGGGCGUAAAGGGCGCGUAGGCGGCCUGAUAAGUAGGGGGUGAAAUCCUGCGGCUUAACCGCAGGGCUGCCUUCUAAACUGUCAGGCUAGAGCACGGUAGAGGCAGAUGGAAUUCCCGGUGUAGCGGUGGAAUGCGUAGAGAUCGGGAAGAACAUCAGUGGCGAAGGCGGUCUGCUGGGCCGUUGCUGACGCUGAGGCGCGACAGCGUGGGGAGCAAACAGGAUUAGAUACCCUGGUAGUCCACGCCGUAAACGAUGGGUGCUAGGUGUGGGAGGUGUCGACUCCUCCCGUGCCGCAGCUAACGCAUUAAGCACCCCGCCUGGGGAGUACGGCCGCAAGGCUAAAACUCAAAGGAAUUGACGGGG
RNAcentral lists this ribosomal RNA (397 nucleotides) under uncultured bacterium. Its description in RNAcentral is "partial 16S ribosomal RNA". It matches the Rfam family "Bacterial small subunit ribosomal RNA", at positions 523 to 918 of the family's 1533-position model. The record is from RNAcentral.